AGGGGCAACACAGAGAUUUCAUACAUGAAAUUCUAGAAGAACCCUACAUAUUUAUGUCUCUGAUGUUCACAUUUAAUUAAGUUAUUGAUGAAUUUCACCACCGUUCGUCCUUCUAUCUACCUAAACAAGCAGUUGAUCGGUCCAUCAUUUUUUAUAUGAACCUGCAAUCGCUCUUUAGGUGAAGAUGGUGGAUCAUAGCGACGCAGACGGUCUGAACAGGUUCUGAUUAUUGGGGUUGGAGUAUGACGGUUUGGGAGUCACGGAACUGUGGGGGAGAAGAAACAUUUGGAUUAGACCAGCCGACCGAUUAUCUCUUCUAGAUGUGAGAGAGUUCCUUUAAUUAGAAAAAUGUAAGGUAUUCAUUAAUUCUUGAUCGAUUACUCAUCUUUCCAUUGUAUUUUUUUUUUUCUAUAAUCUUAAAUUUAUCAAAUUCAAAUUGUGGGGUUUGGUAAAAAUUUGAUCUCAGAAGAAAAUCCUAAUGGUGGUAGACUGGUUGUGUUAUGGCAGUAUAAAGAUAACAAGCAGUUUUAGGCGGGGUGUUUGGAUGCACGAUUAAACUGAUAAUAGAUGUAUGGAGUUGCAAUUAUCAGUCUUGAGAAUCAGGUUUUUUGCUAUCUUGCUUGAUUUUAUCGUAGCGUCUUUCAGAUGAGGUUAACUUCAGAUGUAUGAUUGUUAAGGGGCCGCCGGUGAUGGUAUCCGAUACCAUUUCACCGGCGAUUGAAGGGCAAACUGGUAAUUUUGACUCCGGUGAUUAGUAAUUUUUCUUAUUAUUCGUUUCGUAUACAUUACGAUCGAAGAAUUAGUAAUUUUUUUUAUUGUUCGUUUAUUACUUUGAUAGUUAUUUGAUAUAAAAGUUAGAGUAUAUUGGGAUUCAAAGUGGCGAUGGCAGUUACCUGAUGGUUACAGCUCCGACCAAUGAUAGGAUGCAGUAGCUUAAUCGGCUCAUGGUUCCUGAUUGAAGGAGAAACCAAGAUUCUCAACAAAGUGGAGGAUGGAAAUGAUCAAACUCUUAUUGACAUCGAUUCUAAGCACAAGGAUCUUCGAAUGUGCAGCUUAUAUGCUGCUGAUGUACGUGUGGCGGAGGUCGUAUAAGUUUAAAAAUUAUAUAAAUAAUGGGCUCGUAUAAGCUCGCUAGCCGCAUGGAGCUCGAUAAGCGAAACUCCGGCUUGUUUCGUAAACAUUAGAGAACUGGUAAAGAUUUUAAUUACGUGUUUUGAUAGUAUUUGAUCAAAGAAUU
Helianthus annuus (common sunflower) is the source of this 1237-nucleotide long non-coding RNA. RefSeq lists it as uncharacterized. The transcript has 4 exons. The record is from RefSeq and is a predicted model, not a curated record. Lineage: Eukaryota; Viridiplantae; Streptophyta; Magnoliopsida; Asterales; Asteraceae.